GCACUCCCACCCCUAUCCUUUUUCAGCCGCCACCAGUAGCUUCUUCUCCCUCGCGCGUGUCUUCUUCCCUUGGAGCCGAGCUCCUCUCCUCCAUGGCGUGGCCGAGCUCACCUCCCUGCCGCGAGCUCGCCAACAAUCUCCCCCACUCAGACCUCCAUUCCCCUUGCUGCUGCUCGCCGCGAGCUCUCUCUGGCUUCUUCCCCAGUCGGCGCCCUGUUCACCUGCGACUCCCAUGGCGCCGGCGAAGCUCGAGCAGCCGAGCUCCUUUCCAUGGCGCCCCCUUCUCUCCCAUUGGCGCCCCCUUCAGGCACGGCAACAGGAAGCCCUUCUCCUCACGUGCAGCACCUCUGCUCCCCUUUCCAUGGCGCCCAAGCCCUUCUUCUUCCUCUGCCCAACGCCCCCUCUUCUCCAUGGCGUUAAGAGCAGGGAGCCUUUUCUCCCCUGCGCGCAGGGAGCAGUUCCCUUGGCCGACGCCCUCGGUGGCAGCCAUGGCACCUCCCUCCCUCUCUGCUCGUGCGCAGGAAACCCCUCACGCGCAGGGAAGAACAACAGUCCACCCUCCAAAACACCAAGCAGCGGCAGCAACCUCCAUGGCACCCCUGCUUCCAUCCCAUAGCUGAGCGCCCUUGCUGUUCUCUUCAAUGCCCCUUGGCUGUUCGACGGAAUACCCGUGAGAAAUAAUAUGUUGUGCGCAGCCCCGUCCGUGAUGCCGUCGACCCUCGCUAGUGGUCGACGCCACACUUCGCGCUUGGCCCGUUCGACGAAACGCCAAGCCUUGUGGACAGCCCAUGUGACUAGCCUCGAUUUGUCCAGGUUGUUCACUUGGUAUUUUGUGGAUUAAUCUAUUUAAGCUUUGGUCGAUGUUGUGCAUGUGUGUAUAUGUGUAAGAAAAUGUAUUGGUAUGGAUUGAAGUUCGUGGCGAAAGAAAAAGAAGUAGAAAAGAACUCGGAUGUUUUUAUA
Long non-coding RNA from Zea mays, 960 nucleotides. RefSeq lists it as uncharacterized. The record is from RefSeq and is a predicted model, not a curated record. The transcript has 2 exons. Lineage: Eukaryota; Viridiplantae; Streptophyta; Magnoliopsida; Poales; Poaceae.